This 141-nucleotide non-coding RNA is filed under the name Chloroflexota bacterium. Its description in RNAcentral is "Chloroflexi bacterium c-di-GMP sequence". It matches the Rfam family "c-di-GMP-I riboswitch aptamer". From Rfam's summary of the family: GEMM was predicted in a large-scale screen for bacterial structured RNA regulatory elements. Genes associated with GEMM are involved in a diverse array of functions, including chemotaxis regulation, signal transduction, secretion and chitin. Lineage: Bacteria; Bacillati; Chloroflexota. The record is from RNAcentral.
CUUCUAUCAUAGCAAACUGCCGGUGACGGCAGGACGCAAAGCAACGGGGCUUUUUCUAUCAUCCCGCUCAUAAUUCCCUAUCCCCUGACGGGGGUUAGUGUGAGGGGGUGGAAGGGACAUCAAGCAAGUCGGGCUGCCGAG